RNAcentral lists this transfer RNA (64 nucleotides) under Monodelphis domestica (gray short-tailed opossum). It matches the Rfam family "tRNA", at positions 5 to 66 of the family's 71-position model. From Rfam's summary of the family: Transfer RNA (tRNA) molecules are approximately 80 nucleotides in length. Their secondary structure includes four short double-helical elements and three loops (D, anti-codon, and T loops). Lineage: Eukaryota; Metazoa; Chordata; Mammalia; Didelphimorphia; Didelphidae. The record is from Rfam by way of RNAcentral.
CUUUGGUGCUAUAGGUAGCCUGUCAGUCUUUCAAGCUGAAGGUCCCGAGUUCGAUCCUCAGAAG